Molecule: non-coding RNA, 111 nt
Organism: Camelina sativa (false flax)
Lineage: Eukaryota; Viridiplantae; Streptophyta; Magnoliopsida; Brassicales; Brassicaceae
Source: RefSeq, a predicted model, not a curated record
ACCAACACCUGCAAUAUAGAUUGACAAAUCGUAGCGGCGAUUACAUCUCAUCAGAAUCGGAUACUUCGAAACUUCUUUGGUCAUAUCCAGAAGGCUUACGAAAGAUUCUUA